RNAcentral lists this ribosomal RNA (257 nucleotides) under uncultured Pseudomonas sp. RNAcentral's name for it is "partial 16S ribosomal RNA". It matches the Rfam family "Bacterial small subunit ribosomal RNA", at positions 96 to 354 of the family's 1533-position model. The record is from RNAcentral. Lineage: Bacteria; Pseudomonadati; Pseudomonadota; Gammaproteobacteria; Pseudomonadales; Pseudomonadaceae.
CGGCGGACGGGUGAGUAAUGCCUAGGAAUCUGCCUGGUAGUGGGGGACAACGUUUCGAAAGGAACGCUAAUACCGCAUACGUCCUACGGGAGAAAGCAGGGGACCUUCGGGCCUUGCGCUAUCAGAUGAGCCUAGGUCGGAUUAGCUAGUUGGUGAGGUAAUGGCUCACCAAGGCUACGAUCCGUAACUGGUCUGAGAGGAUGAUCAGUCACACUGGAACUGAGACACGGUCCAGACUCCUACGGGAGGCAGCAGGU